UACCCGCAGCUCAAGUGGUGGUCAUUAUUAUUGGGCCUAAAGCGUCCGUAGCAGGCUUGUUAGAUGCCUGGGUAAAUCGAUGCGCUUAACGCAUCGAAUUCCGGGUAGACCGGCAAGCUCGAGACCGGGAGAGGCGUGAGCUACUCAAGGGGUAGGGGUAAAAUCCUGUAAUCCUUUGGGGAGGACCAGUGGCGAAGGCGUCACGCUAGAACGGCUCUGACAGUGAGGGACGAAGCCCUGGGGCGCAAACCGG
Molecule: ribosomal RNA, 253 nt
Filed under: uncultured bacterium
Lineage: Bacteria
Description: partial 16S ribosomal RNA
Rfam family: Archaeal small subunit ribosomal RNA
Source: RNAcentral